This 73-nucleotide transfer RNA is filed under the name Giardia muris. It matches the Rfam family "tRNA". Rfam says of the family: Transfer RNA (tRNA) molecules are approximately 80 nucleotides in length. Their secondary structure includes four short double-helical elements and three loops (D, anti-codon, and T loops). The record is from Rfam by way of RNAcentral. Lineage: Eukaryota; Fornicata; Diplomonadida; Hexamitidae.
GCCCCCGUAGCUCAGUGGACAGAGUGGUCGCCUUCUAAGCGGAUGGUCGCGGGUUCGACCCCCGUCGGGGGUG